GACGAACGCUGGCGGCGUGCUUAACACAUGCAAGUCGAACGGACCCUUUGGGGUUAGUGGCGAACGGGUGAGCAACACGUGGGUGAUCUGCCCUGCACUUUGGGAUAAGCCUGGGAAACUGGGUCUAAUACCGGAUAGGACUACGCACUGCAUGGUGUGUGGUGGAAAGCUUUUGCGGUGUGGGAUGGGCCCGCGGCCUAUCAGCUUGUUGGUGGGGUGAUGGCCUACCAAGGCGACGACGGGUAGCCGGCCUGAGAGGGUGACCGGCCACACUGGGACUGAGAUACGGCCCAGACUCCUACGGGAGGCAGCAGUGGGGAAUAUUGCACAAUGGGCGCAAGCCUGAUGCAGCGACGCCGCGUGAGGGAUGACGGCCUUCGGGUUGUAAACCUCUUUCGCCAGGGACGAAGCGCAAGUGACGGUACCUGGAGAAGAAGGACCGGCCAACUACGUGCCAGCAGCCGCGGUAAUACGUAGGGUCCGAGCGUUGUCCGGAAUUACUGGGCGUAAAGAGCUCGUAGGUGGUUUGUCGCGUUGUUCGUGAAAACUCACAGCUUAACUGUGGGCGUGCGGGCGAUACGGGCAGACUGGAGUACUGCAGGGGAGACUGGAAUUCCUGGUGUAGCGGUGGAAUGCGCAGAUAUCAGGAGGAACACCGGUGGCGAAGGCGGGUCUCUGGGCAGUAACUGACGCUGAGGAGCGAAAGCGUGGGGAGCGAACAGGAUUAGAUACCCUGGUAGUCCACGCCGUAAACGGUGGGUACUAGGUGUGGGUUUCCUUCCUUGGGAUCCGUGCCGUAGCUAACGCAUUAAGUACCCCGCCUGGGGAGUACGGCCGCAAGGCUAAAACUCAAAGGAAUUGACGGGGGCCCGCACAAGCGGCGGAGCAUGUGGAUUAAUUCGAUGCAACGCGAAGAACCUUACCUGGGUUUGACAUGCACAGGACGCCGGCAGAGAUGUCGGUUCCCUUGUGGCCUGUGUGCAGGUGGUGCAUGGCUGUCGUCAGCUCGUGUCGUGAGAUGUUGGGUUAAGUCCCGCAACGAGCGCAACCCUUGUCUCAUGUUGCCAGCACGUUAUGGUGGGGACUCGUGAGAGACUGCCGGGGUCAACUCGGAGGAAGGUGGGGAUGACGUCAAGUCAUCAUGCCCCUUAUGUCCAGGGCUUCACACAUGCUACAAUGGCCGGUACAAAGGGCUGCGAUGCCGUGAGGUGGAGCGAAUCCUUUCAAAGCCGGUCUCAGUUCGGAUCGGGGUCUGCAACUCGACCCCGUGAAGUCGGAGUCGCUAGUAAUCGCAGAUCAGCAACGCUGCGGUGAAUACGUUCCCGGGCCU
Molecule: ribosomal RNA, 1330 nt
Filed under: uncultured bacterium
Lineage: Bacteria
Description: bacterial SSU rRNA
Rfam family: Bacterial small subunit ribosomal RNA
Source: RNAcentral